UAAUUUUAUUUUUGUUAUUAUUUUUAUAAUAAUCUUUGUUUAAUUUAAUCAUUAUUUUGUUUUUGUAUUUGUUUAUUAUUUAAUUAUUUAGAUUAUAGUUUAUUAGUACUGUGAAGGAAUAUUAUAAAUUUUAUUAUCAGAUUAUUUUUUUUGUUGUACCUUGUGUAUCAGGAUAUAUUUAAUAUAUUUUAUUUAUUUAUUUUUCUCGAUUUUAUAUGAUUUAAUUAUCUAUUAUUAUUAUUAUUAUAUAAAUAUAAUUAAUAGUUAGUUAGCAGCGAAAUGUUUCUCGUUUAUAAAGGUAUCUAGUUUUUCAGGAAAUGAAUUUAAUUCAUGUAUUUUCUUUAAUUUUUUUUAUUAAAAAAUUAUUUUAGUUUAUACUAAUGUUGUUAGGGAUUAGCUUAAUAAACAUAAACUUAUAUUUUUAUUAUUUAAUUAUAUAUUGUGAAUUUUAAGGUUGUUAUCAAUUUGAAAAUAUAAAAAUUUUAUUUUUUUUAUUUAUUAGUUUUUAGUUAAUUUGGGUUUAAUAUUGAAUAAUUAUUAUUUAAUAUCUUAUUAAUAAUUAUAAUUUUAUUAUUAGUAAAUUUAAUUCUUUAAGUUAAAUAUUUAAAAUUAAUUCGGCAAAUUUUAUAUUCGAUUGUUUAUCAAAAACAUUUUUUCUUGCUUUAAUUUUUUUUGAAAUAUAACCUGCCCACUGAUUAUAAUUAAAUGGCCGCGGUAAUUUGACCGUGCAAAGGUAGCAUAAUCAUUAGUCUUUUUAUUGGGGACUAGAAUGAAAGGUUGAACGAAAUAUAUACUGUCUCUUUAUUACUUUAAUUGAAUUUGAUUAUUAAGUCAAAAGGCUUAAAUUUUGUUAUGGGACGAGAAGACCCUAUAGAUUUUCAUAAUAAAUAUAAUUAAGAUCUUGUUUAUUUAUAAAUUUAUACUUAUUUUAUUAUUUGAUUGGGGUGAUUAUAAGAUAUACAAAUCUCUUAUUUUUUUUUAAUAUAUAUUAAUAAAAUUUUGAUCCUUAUUUAUGAUUAUAAGACUAAAAUACCUUAGGGAUAACAGCGUUAUUUUUUUUUAGAGUUCUUAUCGACAAAAAAGAUUGCGACCUCGAUGUUGGAUUAAGAUAAAUUUUGGGUGAAGAAUUUCAAUUAAUUAAGUCUGUUCGACUUUUAAAAUCUUACAUGAUCUGAGUUCAGACCGGCGUGAGCCAGGUUGGUUUCUAUCUAUAAUUUUAAUAAAUAUUUUAGUACGAAAGGACCAUAUAUUUUAAAUAAUUUAUUUUUGAUGUAUAAUUUUAAUUA
RNAcentral lists this ribosomal RNA (1286 nucleotides) under Balta curvirostris. Its description in RNAcentral is "16S ribosomal RNA". The stretch from base 1040 to 1199 matches the Rfam family "Archaeal large subunit ribosomal RNA", at positions 2542 to 2701 of the family's 2987-position model. The record is from RNAcentral. Lineage: Eukaryota; Metazoa; Arthropoda; Insecta; Blattodea; Pseudophyllodromiidae.